Molecule: transfer RNA, 77 nt
Filed under: Bacillus thermozeamaize
Lineage: Bacteria; Bacillati; Bacillota; Bacilli; Caryophanales; Bacillaceae
Description: tRNA-Arg
Rfam family: tRNA
About the family: Transfer RNA (tRNA) molecules are approximately 80 nucleotides in length. Their secondary structure includes four short double-helical elements and three loops (D, anti-codon, and T loops). Further hydrogen bonds mediate the characteristic L-shaped molecular structure. tRNAs have two regions of fundamental functional importance: the anti-codon, which is responsible for specific mRNA codon recognition, and the 3' end, to which the tRNAs corresponding amino acid is attached (by aminoacyl-tRNA synthetases). tRNAs cope with the degeneracy of the genetic code in two manners: having more than one tRNA (with a specific anti-codon) for a particular amino acid; and 'wobble' base-pairing, i.e. permitting non-standard base-pairing at the 3rd anti-codon position.
Source: RNAcentral
GUGCCUGUAGCUCAGCUGGAUAGAGCAGCGGCCUUCUAAGCCGCGUGUCGGGGGUUCGAAUCCCUCCAGGCAUGCCA